RNAcentral lists this long non-coding RNA (347 nucleotides) under Bos mutus (wild yak). RNAcentral describes it as "lncRNA (ENSBMUG00000020624.1)". Lineage: Eukaryota; Metazoa; Chordata; Mammalia; Artiodactyla; Bovidae. The record is from RNAcentral.
GGAAGGCGGGGCUAGGCCGUCAUUCAACUUGGCCCCGCCGAUCAGGGCGGGACUACGCGCGCCCUGGGCCCGCCCAGGAAGGUUCCGCAGGUAGAAGGCAGGCGCCCGGUCUACGACGUCAUCGCGCUGACGCCGGCGUCCACUCGGCCCCGCCUGCUCCGUUGAAAAUGCCGAACCUAACAUGGCGGCGCGCGCUCGGCCCGCUUCACCCUGGUGUUUCCUCUCGCGCGGGCACUCUUCAGAGAGGAGAGACCCUCUUGGACAAGAGAGGCAGGCUGCAAAAGCCCACUGAACGUGCUUCUGAUAUUCAGGGUAUGCAGCAAACUUGUGCCAACAGAAGUAAAAGG